Molecule: long non-coding RNA, 2026 nt
Organism: Clupea harengus (Atlantic herring)
Lineage: Eukaryota; Metazoa; Chordata; Actinopteri; Clupeiformes; Clupeidae
Source: Ensembl
UGCUUGCCAUCUAGCUAAACUUUUUCACAUCCAGUUUCUUUUUUGUGAUCACUUGCACAGCGUAGACCUUGAUGUCAAGGCAGGUGAAUGGAGGAGGCAUUGUUUACCUCAUAUGUUCUCAAUUCAGAUGCAUGUGUAGUCCCACUACGGAAAUGGGCCAAGAACAAAAUGCUCUUUAACAUUCAUAUCUUAACCACAUGUGUACCGUAUAGGGGUCUGGAGCCACGCGCUAACUUGAGCGUAUUCACUCGCGAACAAUGCAUUCUCAUCAGGCGACUCGCAUCACGAGCGGACUGUGGUCUCUGUCGGAAUGCCAUGUAGCUCUGCACAACACUAAGGUCACUUCUGAAGUGUCAAUGUGAUUCAGUCCCUCCCAAAGCUAGUACUGUAAAAUCUUUCAGAGCGUCGAGCGAAUGAGUGCCAGCUCCAGAACCGCUUUACACGGGCAUGAGACCCCCUCCAGGAACCUUGACCCCCUCCGAGUGUUGGGGUUUUAUGAGUAGGAAGAUCCUUUUCGUUUUGGUUAGUGGUGUUGGCUUUUCACCUUCUCCUCUAUGUUGGUUGUCAGUGGCUUUAAGUGGUUAGUGCAUUAUUGUUCUGUUAUUUUUCACCUUCCCUGAGGGAGCACCUAGACCUGUUUUUGUCCUGGUUAGUCAGUUUGCCUUUGGUAGGGUAUAGCAAUGGAGUGUUUUUUUUUUUUUUUUUGUUUUAUUUAACCUGUGAACAGAUUGUUAUUUCUUUAUCUGUACUGAUAGGAGUCAAAAGAGCUUCAGCCAAGAGCUAAAGAGUUGGGGGAUUUUAAACAGGAUCUAAGGGCCUCUUUAAGUGAAGCUAGGGAGCGGUUGACUUGUCCUACGAUGGCCCUGCCAACAAACAACCUCUCUAUUGCGCCGUUAAUAUCGAUUGGGCUGUGCAGUCAAUCUCCUUGAGGGGAAAUGCCUAUUCUGACCAUUCAAAAAAAAUCUGUGUACAUUGUCUCUCUUUGCUUUGAGCUUUAGCAAUAAAAGUACAACAAAAAAUAAAACAAUAAUAAAAAAGUUCAAAGCAGCUAACUGCUGAAACAUGUUGUUAUGUAUAAGUUUAUGUACAAUUGUCAUAUCAAAUGUAUUUGAGAAUUACAUUAAAAUUUUUAACAGUACAAAGUUUUUGCCUCUUGUUUCUCUAUCUGAAAUUAAAUUCUGCAUCUCCUGCUUGGAUUGCCUUAUCUUUCUAGUAAAAUGUGGUAGUGGCCACUAGCUGGCACUCUUGGGUUAGUAAGUGGAUGCAGGUGAAGUGAGCAUUAUAUUUUCCAGACAAGCUGUGCACGUUUUUCAGAAUUGACCCGUUUGUAGCAGAUUUCAAAGAGUAAGUGUUCUGAAUAUCUCUAGAAAUCAUUUGAUUCGUGUGAUUUUGGUGAAUAUUAUACAAUUUGACAACAGUAGGGAGGCCAGGCACUUGGCUUAUGGGGAGUGUUACACAACAUGUCCUGGUUUUCCAAAACUCAUCUAACUUUAUUUUAUCACUUCUCUGCCAUUAUGCCUAAAAAACACAUGCUUAGUAAUGGACUAAAAGUAGUGUUAAACAGACACCUCAACAAACAUGCUGUUUGAUUCAACCUCUUUCGGUUUUCUCAGCAUCUUCAGACAUUUGGUAAAUUAAUGCUAUUUGGUUUUGCAGAGGCAAUAUAAGACAUCUUUGUUGAAAUGUUAUCAGCAGAUAAGAAUCAAUGACACAUUUUUACAAAAAUAGUGUCAUGUUUUAAUAAAAUACAUUUUGCUAAAAUAGUUUGCCUGACUAAACACAAUUUGAACUCAAGAUGGCACUGAUGUUUUAGUUGCUUGCUGCCUUGUUUUGCCUAACAUUCUUAGGUAAUCCCAUAUUUUCAUACUACCUGCUGAAAUAGUUUGAAAAGACCUUAGAAUAUUACUUUUGUCACACGCAGUGUGCUAUAACGCGGUUGUGAAGUGGUCCCCUGAGUUUGUAAAGUUUCUGCCCCAAUAUAAGAGCACUGAUCAAGAGCACGUGGCUCUUUGAGGAACCAAAGCCC